Molecule: small nuclear RNA, 21 nt
Filed under: Arabidopsis thaliana (thale cress)
Lineage: Eukaryota; Viridiplantae; Streptophyta; Magnoliopsida; Brassicales; Brassicaceae
Description: snRNA_18328
Source: RNAcentral
GCCCAGCUUGAAAAUCGGACG